AUUGAACGCUGGCGGCAGGCCUAACACAUGCAAGUCGAGCGGAGAGGCGGACGGGAGAGUAAUGCCUAGGAAUCUGCCUGGCAGUUGGGGAUAACGUCCGGAACCGGGCGCUAAUACUGCAUACUAUCAGAUGAGCCUAGGUCGGAUGAAAUAGUUGGUGGGGUAAAGGCCUACCAAGGCGACGAGCCGUAACUGGUCUGAGAGGAUGAUCAGUCACACUGGAACGGAGACACGGUCCAGACUCCUACGGGAGGCAGCAGUGGGGAAUAUUGGACAAUGGGCGAAAGCCUGAUCCAGCCAUGCCGCGUGUGUGAAGAAGGUCUUCGGAUUGUAAAGCACUUUAAGUUGGGAGGCGUUACCAACAGAAUAAGCACCGGCUAACUACGUGCCAGCAGCCGCGGUAAUUC
RNAcentral lists this ribosomal RNA (407 nucleotides) under uncultured bacterium. Its description in RNAcentral is "partial 16S ribosomal RNA". It matches the Rfam family "Bacterial small subunit ribosomal RNA", at positions 30 to 526 of the family's 1533-position model. The record is from RNAcentral.